GGAAGGGGUGUAUUUAUUAGAUAAAAAACCAACGCCCUUCGGGGCUUCUUGGUGAUUCAUGAUAACUUCACGGAUCGCAUGGCCUUGCGCCGGCGACGGUUCAUUCAAAUUUCUGCCCUAUCAACUUUCGAUGGUAAGGUAUUGGCUUACCAUGGUUUCAACGGGUAACGGGGAAUUAGGGUUCGAUUCCGGAGAGGGAGCCUGAGAAACGGCUACCACAUCCAAGGAAGGCAGCAGGCGCGCAAAUUACCCAAUCCCGACACGGGGAGGUAGUGACAAUAAAUACUGAUACAGGGCUCUUUUGGGUCUUGUAAUUGGAAUGAGUACAAUUUAAACCUCUUAACGAGGAACAAUUGGAGGGCAAGUCUGGUGCCAGCAGCCGCGGUAAUUCCAGCUCCAAUAGCGUAUAUUAAAGUUGUUGCAGUUAAAAAGCUCGUAGUUGAAACUUGGGCCUGGCUGGCAGGUCCGCCUCACCGCGUGUACUUGUCCGGCCGGGCCUUUCCUUCUAGAGAACCUCAUGCCCUUCACUGGGUGUGCUGGGGAACGGUGGACUUUUAC
Molecule: ribosomal RNA, 558 nt
Filed under: uncultured fungus
Lineage: Eukaryota; Fungi
Description: SSU rRNA
Rfam family: Eukaryotic small subunit ribosomal RNA
Source: RNAcentral